AUUGAACGCUGGCGGCAUGCCUUACACAUGCAAGUCGAACGGCAGCACGGGGCAACCUGGUGGCGAGUGGCGAACGGGUGAGUAAUGCAUCGGAACGUGCCAUUGAGUGGGGGAUAACGUAGCGAAAGUUGCGCUAAUACCGCAUAUUCUGUGAGCAGGAAAGCAGGGGACCGCAAGGCCUUGCGCUCUUUGAGCGGCCGAUGUCAGAUUAGCUAGUUGGUGAGGUAACGGCUUACCAAGGCGACGAUCUGUAGCGGGUCUGAGAGGAUGAAUCCGCCACACUGGAACUGAGACACGGUCCAGACUCCUACGGGAGGCAGCAGUGGGGAAUUUUGGACAAU
RNAcentral lists this ribosomal RNA (341 nucleotides) under uncultured bacterium. Its description in RNAcentral is "bacterial SSU rRNA". It matches the Rfam family "Bacterial small subunit ribosomal RNA", at positions 30 to 372 of the family's 1533-position model. The record is from RNAcentral.